GGGCUCUGAAAAUCCCUGAAAUCACACAGCAGAACAAACAAGAGCAGGCAGCAGAGCAAACAGCAGAGCUCGCUAAGGAACUGGGUCUCACAGCCUGACGAACAGGAUAUGUGAUAAUGCCUACUCAAGGGCCCUCUGGUGGGAUGGGAACAUUGGAAAGCCCUGUCCUCCACAGUCCUCCAUGGGGAAUGCAAUACACAAAUCAGCAAAUCAGCACGUAUCCUCCCACACCAACGUCCACUGAGUAAUUUGCCACUUUCUGCAACAACCACUGGAGCCCCAAUGCGGCACGAGAAGAGGGCAGAAGGCAUUAACAAGUCCUCUAGGCCACCCAUGGGCUUGUUUCAGGUGAGACUCCUGUGAAAUCCUAAGGUCACAUCACGAUGUUCCCAUUAACUUGGUCUCAGAGUGAAUUCCUUGCAACUGUAGCACUCAACACUGUACUUUCAAUAAAUCUGCACAAUACAGCUCCUAAAGCCAACUUUCCUAGUCCAACUCCUCUUCAUACUGCCCAUGCUCCUAACACACAGUUUAGUACUGUUCUUU
This is a long non-coding RNA of Passer domesticus (house sparrow), 546 nucleotides long. RefSeq lists it as uncharacterized. Lineage: Eukaryota; Metazoa; Chordata; Aves; Passeriformes; Passeridae. The transcript is spliced from 3 exons. The record is from RefSeq and is a predicted model, not a curated record.